RNAcentral lists this long non-coding RNA (552 nucleotides) under Malus domestica (apple). Its description in RNAcentral is "long non-coding RNA (MDOM_LNC004441)". The record is from RNAcentral. Lineage: Eukaryota; Viridiplantae; Streptophyta; Magnoliopsida; Rosales; Rosaceae.
GAAAUUCCUUGAAACACAAUAUUUUAUGAUGUGAAAAUUAUGUUGACACACAAAUUAAACCCUAUUGAUGACAAUUGUAGUAAUGAUGCAAGUAGGGAUCGUUCUAGACCGGGGAUUAACUAGGGGUGCUAAUCGACACAAAUAAGACUCAAAAACAUUAAACUAGACUCAAUAGACUCAAAACUAACUUAAAACACUAAAAACAGCAAGAAACAAUCAAAAAGACACAAUUCUAGACCUAGCAAGUGAUUUGGACGAAAAUAGAACUUCAAAGACUCAAAAGACUUAAAGAAAACAUGUUUUGACUCUAAAAACAAGAUUUAAAAGUAAAGGGAUUGGUUUUGACGAAAUUGGACUUUAAAACAUAAACUUUAAAAACAAACUUUAAUGAAAACGAUUUUGAUGAAAUAGAAUGGGGAAAUGCUAGUUAGAGGGUUCCUUCUCCACACAUGAAACAUAUGCAUACGACUCGAUUUCCAAUUACUCUUUCAACAAACCAUGAAUGACAUUGCCCCAAAUUAACUAGAUUGACCAAUUAAUUCUCAGAUUUCC